CCGAGUUAUACAACUCAUCAACCCUGUGAACAUACCUAAAACGUUGCUUCGGCGGGAACAGACGGCCCUGUAACAACGGGCCGCCCCCGCCAGAGGACCCCUAACUCUGUUUUUAUAAUGUUUUUCUGAGUAAUCAAGCAAAUAAAUUA
RNAcentral lists this unclassified non-coding RNA (149 nucleotides) under soil metagenome. RNAcentral's name for it is "partial internal transcribed spacer 1". The record is from RNAcentral.